AGCGAACGCUGGCGGCAGGCCUAACACAUGCAAGUCGAACGAACCCUUCGGGGUUAGUGGCGGACGGGUGAGUAACACGUGGGAACGUGCCUUUAGGUUCGGAAUAACUCAGGGAAACUUGUGCUAAUACCGAAUGUGCCCUUCGGGGGAAGGAUUUAUCGCCUUUAGAGCGGCCCGCGUCUGAUUAGCUAGUUGGUGAGGUAAUGGCUCACCAAGGCUACGAUCAGUAGCUGGUCUGAGAGGAUGACCAGCCACAUUGGGACUGAGACACGGCCCAAACUCCUACGGGAGGCAGCAGUGGGGAAUCUUGCGCAAUGGGCGAAAGCCUGACGCAGCCAUGCCGCGUGGAUGAUGAAGGUCUUAGGAUUGUAAAAUCCUUUCACCGGUGAAGAUAAUGACUGUAGCCGGAGAAGAAGCCCCGGCUAACUUCGUGCCAGCCGCCGCCGUAA
This 449-nucleotide ribosomal RNA is filed under the name uncultured bacterium. RNAcentral's name for it is "partial 16S ribosomal RNA". It matches the Rfam family "Bacterial small subunit ribosomal RNA", at positions 29 to 523 of the family's 1533-position model. The record is from RNAcentral.